GUCGAACGGCAGCACGGGAGCUUGCUCCUGGUGGCGAGUGGCGAACGGGUGAGUAAUAUAUNCGGAACGUACCCUAGAGUGGGGGAUAACGCAGCGAAAGUUGCGCUAAUACCGCAUACGAUCUACGGAUGAAAGUGGGGGAUCGCAAGACCUCAUGCUCAUGGAGCGGCCGAUAUCUGAUUAGCUAGUUGGUGGGGUAAAGGCCUACCAAGGCAUCGAUCAGUAGCUGGUCUGAGAGGACGACCAGCCACACUGGAACUGAGACACGGUCCAGACUCCUACGGGAGGCAGCAGUGGGGAAUUUUGGACAAUGGGGGCAACCCUGAUCCAGCAAUGCCGCGUGAGUGAAGAAGGCCUUCGGGUUGUAAAGCUCUUUUGUCAGGGAAGAAACGGUGAGGGCUAAUAUCCUUUGCUAAUGACGGUACCUGAAGAAUAAGCACCGGCUAACUACGUGCCAGCAGCCGCGGUAAUACGUAGGGUGCAAGCGUUAAUCGGAAUUACUGGGCGUAAAGCGUGCGCAGGCGGUUAUGUAAGUCAGAUGUGAAAUCCCCGGGCUCAACCUGGGAAUGGCAUUUGAGACUGCAUGGCUAGAGU
RNAcentral lists this ribosomal RNA (594 nucleotides) under uncultured bacterium. RNAcentral describes it as "bacterial SSU rRNA". It matches the Rfam family "Bacterial small subunit ribosomal RNA", at positions 61 to 647 of the family's 1533-position model. The record is from RNAcentral.